RNAcentral lists this ribosomal RNA (253 nucleotides) under uncultured bacterium. RNAcentral's name for it is "partial 16S ribosomal RNA". It matches the Rfam family "Bacterial small subunit ribosomal RNA", at positions 524 to 776 of the family's 1533-position model. The record is from RNAcentral.
UACGUAGGGGGCAAGCGUUGACCGGAUUUAUUGGGCGUAAAGAGCGCGUAGGCGGCCUGACAGGUCUGCUGUGAAAACUCGAGGCUCAACCUCGAGAUGUCGGCGGAAACCGUCUGGCUAGAGUCCGGAAGAGGAGAGUGGAAUUCCUGGUGUAGCGGUGAAAUGCGCAGAUAUCAGGAAGAACACCUAUGGCGAAGGCAGCUCUCUGGGACGGUACUGACGCUGAGACGCGAAAGCGUGGGGAGCGAACAGG